GACGAACGCUGGCGGCGUGCCUAAUACAUGCAAGUCGAGCGCUGAGGCCCUGUUCUUGUACCAUGUGGAUGAGCCGCGCACGUGUGAGUCACGCGUGGGGACUCUCCCUUUCAGCGGGGGACCACCUUUGGACACGAAUGCUAAUCCCGCAUAAAAACUUGCUGCACAAGUUUUGUGUUUGAAAUAUGCAAUUUCAUCACUCACAGAUGAUCCCGCGUUGUGUUAGCUAGUUGGUGAGGUAACGGCUCACCAAGGCGGUGAUACAUAGCCGACCUGAGAGGGUGAUCGGCCGCAUUGGGAGGGAGACACGGCCCAAACGCCUACGGGAGGGAGCAGUAGGGAAACUUCGGCAAGGGGUGGAAGUCUGAGCGAGCAACGCCGCGUGAGUGAAGAAGGUUGUCGGAUCGUAAAACUCUGUUUGUAGAGAAGAACGUGGGUGAGAGUGGAAAGCUCAGCAAGUGACGGUAACUACCCAGAAAGGGACGGCUAACUACGUG
RNAcentral lists this ribosomal RNA (497 nucleotides) under uncultured bacterium. RNAcentral's name for it is "partial 16S ribosomal RNA". It matches the Rfam family "Bacterial small subunit ribosomal RNA", at positions 28 to 507 of the family's 1533-position model. The record is from RNAcentral.